Molecule: microRNA, 22 nt
Filed under: Petromyzon marinus (sea lamprey)
Lineage: Eukaryota; Metazoa; Chordata; Hyperoartia; Petromyzontiformes; Petromyzontidae
Description: pma-miR-203a-5p
Gene: pma-miR-203a-5p
Source: miRBase by way of RNAcentral
AGUGGUUCUCAUCAGUUCAACA